AUUGAACGCUGGCGGCAGGCCUAACACAUGCAAGUCGAACGGUAACAGGAAGAAGCUUGCUUCUUUGCUGACGAGUGGCGGACGGGUGAGUAAUGUCUGGGAAACUGCCUGAUGGAGGGGGAUAACUACUGGAAACGGUAGCUACUACCGCAUAACGUCGCAAGCCCAAAGAGGGGUACCUUCGGGCCUCUUGCCAUCGGAUGUGCCCAGAUGGGAUUAGCUAGUAGGUGGGGUAACGGCUCACCUAGGCGACGAUCCCUAGCUGGUCUGAGAGGAUGACCAGCCACACUGGAACUGAGACACGGUCCAGACUCCUACGGGAGGCAGCAGUGGGGAAUAUUGCACAAUGGGCGCAAGCAUGAUGCAGCCAUGCCGCGUGUAUGAAGAAGGCCUUCGGGUUGUAAAGUACUUUCAGCGGGGAGGAAGGGAGUAAAGUUAAUACCUUGGCUCAUUGACGUUACCCGCAGAAGAAGCACCGGCUAACUCCGUG
RNAcentral lists this ribosomal RNA (490 nucleotides) under uncultured bacterium. RNAcentral describes it as "partial 16S ribosomal RNA". It matches the Rfam family "Bacterial small subunit ribosomal RNA", at positions 30 to 507 of the family's 1533-position model. The record is from RNAcentral.